GUGGAUUAGAUACCCUGGUAGUCCUGGCAGUAAACGGUGCACGUUUGGUGUGGGAGGAUUCGACCCCUUCUGCGCCGGAGCUAACGCGUUAAACGUGCCGCCUGGGGAGUACGGUCGCAAGAUUAAAACUCAAAGAAAUUGACGGGGGCCCGCACAAGCGGUGGAGUAUGUGGCUUAAUUCGAUGCAACGCGAAGAACCUUACCUGGCCUUGACAUGCAUUGCUAAACUGGUGAAAGCCAGUGAGUGUCGAAAGACACACCUUGCACAGGUGCUGCACGGCCGUCGACAGCU
Molecule: ribosomal RNA, 292 nt
Filed under: uncultured bacterium
Lineage: Bacteria
Description: partial 16S ribosomal RNA
Rfam family: Bacterial small subunit ribosomal RNA
Source: RNAcentral